GCCAGGCGUGGUGGCUCACACCUGUAAUCCUAGCACUUUGGGAGGCUGAGGCGGGUGGAUCACUUGAGGUCAGGAGUUCAAGACCAGCCUGGCCAACAUAGUGAAACCCCGUCUCUA
RNAcentral lists this non-coding RNA (117 nucleotides) under Gorilla gorilla gorilla (western lowland gorilla). Lineage: Eukaryota; Metazoa; Chordata; Mammalia; Primates; Hominidae. The record is from Rfam by way of RNAcentral.